CAGCCCCCCGAGUGGUGGGGAUGAUUAUUUGGCCUAAAGCGUCCGUAGCCGGCUUUGUAAAUCUCUCGUUAAAUCCAGCGUCCUAAGCGUUGGGCUGCGAGAGACACUGCAGAGCUAGAGGGUGGGAGAGGUCAGCGGUAUUCCUGGGGUAGGGGCGAAAUCCAUUGAUCCCAGGAGGACCACCAGUGGCGAAGGCUGCUGUCCAGAACACGCCUGACGGUCAGGGACGAAAGCUGGGGUAGCGAAUCGGAUUAGAGACCCGAGUAGUCC
RNAcentral lists this ribosomal RNA (270 nucleotides) under uncultured archaeon. RNAcentral describes it as "partial 16S ribosomal RNA". It matches the Rfam family "Archaeal small subunit ribosomal RNA", at positions 477 to 747 of the family's 1478-position model. The record is from RNAcentral.